RNAcentral lists this unclassified non-coding RNA (406 nucleotides) under uncultured fungus. RNAcentral's name for it is "partial contains 5.8S ribosomal RNA and internal transcribed spacer 2". The stretch from base 1 to 133 matches the Rfam family "5.8S ribosomal RNA", at positions 22 to 154 of the family's 154-position model. The record is from RNAcentral. Lineage: Eukaryota; Fungi.
UGGCUCUCGCAUCGAUGAAGAACGCAGCGAAAUGCGAUAAGUAAUGUGAAUUGCAGAAUUCAGUGAAUCAUCGAAUCUUUGAACGCACCUUGCGCUCCUUGGUAUUCCGAGGAGCAUGCCUGUUUGAGUGUCAUGAAUAUCUCAGCCCCCCGGGUUUUUGUUAGCCCGAGGGACUGGACUUGGGAGCUUGCUGGCGACUGUCAGCUCUCCUUGAAUGCAUUAGCUUGGACCUUGACCACAUAGGAUCCUCGGUGUGAUAAUUAUCUACGCCGUGAAGACUUGUGGUGUGAUCGUGUGUUACCCCACUUUACUGUGGCUGCUGUAACCGCGAGGGGGACGGGCUUAUAGUCGUCUUCGGACAACAAUCUUGACAUCUGACCUCAAAUCAGGUAGGACUACCCGCUGA